CCUAUACAUGCAAGUCGAGCGGACCGAAGGGAGCUUGCUCCUUUAGGUUAGCGGCGGACGGGUGAGUAACACGUGGGCAACCUGCCCUGCAGACUGGGAUAACUUCGGGAAACCGGAGCUAAUACCGGAUAACACCGAAAACCGCAUGGUUUUCGGUUGAAAGGCGGCUUUUACUUGUCAUUGCAGGUGGGGCCCGCGCCCCAUUACCUAUUUGGUGAGGUAACGGCUCACCAAGGCAACAAUGCUUACCCAACCUGAAAGGUUGACCGGCCACACUGGAACUGAAACACGGCCCAAACUCCUACGGAAGGCACCAUUAGGAAAUCUUCCCCAAUGAACAAAGGUCUAACGAACCACCGCCCCUGGACCAAAAAAGGCUUUCGAAUCUAAAACUUCUGUUGUCAGGAAAAAACAAUUACCGUUCAAACAGGCCGGUACCUUAACGGUACCUGACAAGAAACCCCCGGUUAACUACGUGCCAGCACCCGCGUAAAUACGUAGUUGGCAGCGUUUAUCCGAAAUUAUGGGGCUUAGCGCGCGCGGGGCGCUUCCUUAAUUCUGAGGUGAAUCCUCGCGGCUCACCUCCACCCGCCGUUGGAAGCUUGGGACUUUGCUGCAGGAAAAGGGGGCGGAAAUCCUCCUGUUAGGGUAAAUCGGCUAAAACAUGGAAGAAAACCCAGUGUCAAGGGUGUUCUCUGCCUGGUACUUGACCGCAAGGCCGUAAGCCGUGGGAAGCAAACCGACUACAAUACCUGGUAAGUCCUACGCCGUAAACGAUGAUGGCUAGCUGUAGGAGGUAUUCCACCCUUAUGCUGCACUAACGCAUUAGGCAUCGACUGGGGAGUACGGUCGCAAGCUGACUCAAAGAUGACGGACCCGCCGAGCGGUGAACAUGGGUUAAUUCGAUGACUGGAAACUUAACAAGCUUGGACUCCGGUGAACCUGAAAGAUGGGCCGUCCCUUACGACAGCUACACGUGUCAGUCCGCUCUCUACAGAAUUGGAACCACAUAGGCAUCUGACUAUCGCCAUCUGACUACGUCUCGUAAAGAGAGUGGCGAUUCAA
Molecule: ribosomal RNA, 1065 nt
Filed under: Bacillus sp. LDC-8-i4
Lineage: Bacteria; Bacillati; Bacillota; Bacilli; Caryophanales; Bacillaceae
Description: bacterial SSU rRNA
Rfam family: Bacterial small subunit ribosomal RNA
Source: RNAcentral